This 340-nucleotide transfer-messenger RNA is filed under the name bacterium. It matches the Rfam family "transfer-messenger RNA". Rfam says of the family: Bacterial tmRNA, also known as 10Sa RNA or SsrA, is named for its dual tRNA and mRNA-like properties. Its role is to liberate the mRNA from a stalled ribosome. To accomplish this part of the tmRNA is used as a reading frame that ends in a translation stop signal. The record is from RNAcentral.
GGGGUUGUACUGGUUUCGACAGGGGUUUUGAAGUCGGAGAAGCUAUCCGUAUGCAAUGCGUCAAAUGGCAAAAUUAAAAAUAAACGCUGAAGAUAAUUUAGCAAUCGCUGCCUAAGGGCAGCUGUCAGACCGAGUGCACCUGCACAUUCGGACUCUGGCAUCGUGAAUGCAGGAAACGACAUAUGUUAAGCUUUGCACAUAUGGGCGUAUCAUGAAGCUACCAAAGUUAUCAGGGUGUUAGUUCUCGGAUAGUGGAGGGAAAGUCAAAUAACUGACUAUGAUAGUAGAAGGACGAGGGAUAGGCUUUUGGACAUGGGUUCGAUUCCCAUCAGCUCCACUC